UACGAAGGGGGCGAGCGUUGUUCGGAAUCACUGGGCGUAAAGAGUGCGUAGGCGGCGAUAAAAGUUAGAAGUGAAAGCCCAGGGCUCAACCCUGGAAUUGCUUUUAAAACUAGAUUGCUAGAAUUCGGGAGAGGAUAGCGGAAUUGUCAGUGUAGCAGUGAAAUGCGUAGAUAUUGACAGGAACACCAGUGGCGUAAGCGGCUAUCUGGACCGACAUUGACGCUGAGGCACGAAAGCGUGGGGAUCAAACAGG
RNAcentral lists this ribosomal RNA (253 nucleotides) under uncultured prokaryote. RNAcentral describes it as "partial 16S ribosomal RNA". It matches the Rfam family "Bacterial small subunit ribosomal RNA", at positions 524 to 776 of the family's 1533-position model. The record is from RNAcentral.